Molecule: ribosomal RNA, 466 nt
Filed under: uncultured bacterium
Lineage: Bacteria
Description: bacterial SSU rRNA
Rfam family: Bacterial small subunit ribosomal RNA
Source: RNAcentral
CCAGACUCCUACGGGAGGCAGCAGUGAGGAAUAUUGGUCAAUGGGCGAGAGCCUGAACCAGCCAAGUCGCGUGAAGGAUGACGGCCCUACGGGUUGUAAACUUCUUUUGUCAGGGAGCAAUUGGGUCCACGCGUGGGCUUAGCGAGAGUACCUGAAGAAAAAGCAUCGGCUAACUCCGUGCCAGCAGCCGCGGUAAUACGGAGGAUGCGAGCGUUAUCCGGAUUUAUUGGGUUUAAAGGGUGCGCAGGCGGUCUGUUAAGUCAGCGGUCAAAGCCCGGGGCUCAACCCCGGUCCGCCGUUGAAACUGGCAGUCUCGAGUUGGAGAGAAGUAUGCGGAAUGCGUGGUGUAGCGGUGAAAUGCAUAGAUAUCACGCAGAACUCCGAUUGCGAAGGCAGCAUACCGGCGCCCAACUGACGCUGAAGCACGAAAGCGUGGGUAUCGAACAGGAUUAGAUACCCUCGUAUC